UUCCUGCUUUUGGCAGGAGGCUGGACUCCGUGACCUACAGACUCCUUUUCCGCUUUAUAGUUCCGUGAUUCCGUGACUCGGUGGCUUCCUUUUUAAAAUGCAACAUUCUGAGCAUUGCCAAAGAAGAAUACAUAAAUAAAUAAACAAAACUUGCAUGAAGUGGGUUGCUUGACAGCCCAACGAGAUAAGUUAAGGAUGAAAGCAACCACUCUUCCAGCCUGCUUGGCAGUCUGUGCAGGAGGAAGCGGUUUCGGAAAGCAAAGGUUGAGCAAGUAAGGUUUCAAGGGGCACCUGUCUCCUCUUUCAGCCAACGCGCAAGGCGCAAGUGGGAGGAGAGCAGCAGAAGGAAGGUCGAUGCGAGAGAGAGAGAAGAUCUGGUGGCUUCUGAGAGCCCAGCCCAGAAGCAGCAGCGACAGCAAGAGCAGGAAGCGGUGGUUUCCCGUGUAGAAAUAUAGAGGCGUAGCCGGGCAAAAGCAGUCCGAAGGAGGGGAAGCAAGGAAGCCAGAAUUCAAGUGGGUUGGGACACAAGGAUGCAAAACAAGCAGCGGAGCCAAGAGGAAAAGAAGAUGAGGAUGUGGCACGGCCAGCAACGGUGGGAAUAACAAGACCUGCGAGGGACAACCAGCAAAGGGAAAAGAAAAAACAGAUUCUCUCUGCAUUCCACUCCGGGAGCCUCCAAGCACACAGCUGGGUUGGGAGCUCGCAAAGAAAAUGGAGCAUGAAAUGGAGGCCGUGGCGGAAGGAGGGACGGUAAUGUGCGGUGAUCCGGACUCUGACACCAGAACCGCCGGAGCGCAGGUUCAGCCAUGUUCUCAGGAUGACCUCAGUGUCCUCCGAAACCAGGGCGCUUGUUUGCGUUCACGGCAGAAAAU
RNAcentral lists this long non-coding RNA (872 nucleotides) under Pogona vitticeps (central bearded dragon). RNAcentral describes it as "lncRNA (ENSPVIG00000010819.1)". Lineage: Eukaryota; Metazoa; Chordata; Lepidosauria; Squamata; Agamidae. The record is from RNAcentral.